RNAcentral lists this transfer RNA (69 nucleotides) under Marmota monax (woodchuck). RNAcentral describes it as "tRNA.Ala". Lineage: Eukaryota; Metazoa; Chordata; Mammalia; Rodentia; Sciuridae. The record is from RNAcentral.
GGGGUUGUGGCUCAGCGGUAGAGUGCUUGCCUUGCACGUGAGACCCUGGGUUCAAUCUUCAGCACCACA